AUGCAUUGUAUGUGCACAAAGAUCAUUGUAUGUAUCAGUCUAGCUAGGUUGAAUAAUGAGGAAAAAGUAACAGAAAGUGAGAUAGCUCUUGGUAUAGGAAUGCAUCAGGGAUUUGAUGUAUGUGCUCUUGCUACUAGUGUCUACCAACUUCCAUGUCACUGCAUUUUCAAUGCUGCUGGCACCCUUCCUUGGUCCAGCCAAGAGGUUUUGAGCCUCUGGACUGCUGAUUCUCUGUGCUGUGAGCUGCCCCUCAGAGAUGCCCACCUCUCUCUGCUGAUCAUGGAGGGAGCUGAGCACCCUGACUUCAGGUCGAGCCCACCUCAAGCACCAAAGGUGGGUGAUGUGAGUUCCCCCUUCCCACGUGCAGACCUGCCUACGCCUUGUGGCUUGCACAGCUCCUGCCUACGGAUGGCAGCCUGGCCGGACAUGUGUUCGUGUUUUAACAAGAUGGGGGAAACCUUUGAACAAAUUGCCAGCAAACUUUUUGCAGGGCAAGCGUGGGAGAAGGCUGCCUGCACGAAGUGACCCUCUUGCCGGCAGAGAGGGAGAGACAAAGUGCAGCACAAAGAACGAGCAAAUGAAAGAGCUGGCUUGCAACUCUGAUCCUUACGGACUUUUCUUGAGCUCUCGCAACAAAAAGUGUAACUCUUGUGAUGAAUACAGUCCUACUGUUGUAUUCCUCUGUUCCAACAAUAAUUUCAAUUGAACCCUACUGCAUGUGGAGUCCCUUUGCUUUUUAGGUCAUAAAAGCAAUAUGUGGAGUAGAGACUUAAAAAAUGGACUUUUAAAAGACUCCAAUGCCUCAAUCUCUCCAAGAACUCAACUGAUAAAUCUCCUGUGUAAAAUGAUCACAUUUUAUAGAGAAGAAUCUUUGUUAGACAUUCAUUAGCAAUAACAUGUGAGCCAAUUUAAGGAAUGAAACCUUUCUUCUAUAUAAAACCCACUGUGGUCACUAAAACUAAUGACUUUUUCGGCCUACCACCCUUUAAUUCAGUAGCAAAGCACGUGAAUUUCCCGUAUUGCUUAGUUCUCCAACAAUUUGUUUAUCUUUGAAGAGCAGGUCCCUGACUGUGUGAACUCAGGCACAUCCAAAAGGUUAAGUAAGAAUAAAAAAGUAGAUCAGGGCCA
RNAcentral lists this long non-coding RNA (1128 nucleotides) under Anser cygnoides (Swan goose). RNAcentral's name for it is "lncRNA (ENSACDG00005010244.1)". The record is from RNAcentral. Lineage: Eukaryota; Metazoa; Chordata; Aves; Anseriformes; Anatidae.